RNAcentral lists this long non-coding RNA (662 nucleotides) under Mytilus galloprovincialis (Mediterranean mussel). Lineage: Eukaryota; Metazoa; Mollusca; Bivalvia; Mytilida; Mytilidae. The record is from RNAcentral.
UAGUCUGUAUAUGUAUUAUUGUUGUUUGUUUACGUUUUGUUGUUGUUUGCAUAUGUAUUUGUUGCUAUUUGUAUAUGUAUUGUUGUUUUUUGUAUAUGUUUUGUUGUUGUCUGCACAUGUUUUAUUGUUGUUUGCACAUAUUUUAUUGUUAUGUGCAUAUAUUUUAUUGUUAUGUGCAUAUGUUUUAUUGUUUCUUUAUUUAUUGUUGUUGUCUACACAUGUUUUAUUAUUGUUUGCAUGUUUUGUAGAUGUUUGAAUGUUUUGUUGCUGUUGUUUGUAUAUGUUUGUAUAAAUUUGUUGUUGUUUGCAUACGUUUUGUAGUUGUUGUUUAUGUCUUGUUGUUGCUUGCACAUGUUUUGUUGUUGUUUUUUGCAUAUGUUUUGUAGUUGUUUGCGCAUGAUUUGUAGUGGUAUGUAUAUGUUUUGUUGUUGUUUGUAUAUGUUCUGUAGUUGUUUGUUUAUCUUUUGUUGUUGUUUAUUUAUGUUUUGUUGUUGUUUGUUUAUGAAUUGUUAUGAGUCAAAUGUUGGUGGUUCAGGUGUAGUCUAUUUUUUGAAUAUAUCUUUGUUUUUAAUAAUUCCUGCUAUUGUUUUGAUGCAUUAUAAAGAAUGAUUUCUACUAAUUAGAAUCAUAAUACGUUUCAAUUAAAGGGGCAUUAAAAAUUC